UGGGGAAUUUUGCGCAAUGGGCGAAAGCCUGACGCAGCAACGCCGCGUGGGUGAUGAAGGUCUUCGGAUCGUAAAACCCUGUCGUCGGGGACGAAGGUAGGGGGGUUAAUACCCCUUUUGCUUGACGGUACCCGGAGAGGAAGCCCCGGCUAACUCUGUGCCAGCAGCCGCGGUAAUACAGAGGGGGCAAGCGUUAUUCGGAAUUAUUGGGCGUAAAGGGCGCGUAGGCGGUUUUUUAAGUCAGAUGUGUAAUCCCCGAGCUCAACUUGGGAACUGCAUCUGAGACUGGGAGGCUAGAGUACUGGAGAGGGUGGUAGAAUUCCACGUGUAGCGGUGAAAUGCGUAGAGAUGUGGAGGAAUACCAGUGGCGAAGGCGGCCACCUGGACAGUAACUGACGCUGAGGCGCGAAAGUGUGGGUAGCAAACAGG
This 429-nucleotide ribosomal RNA is filed under the name uncultured bacterium. RNAcentral's name for it is "bacterial SSU rRNA". It matches the Rfam family "Bacterial small subunit ribosomal RNA", at positions 355 to 776 of the family's 1533-position model. The record is from RNAcentral.